Molecule: ribosomal RNA, 497 nt
Filed under: uncultured bacterium
Lineage: Bacteria
Description: partial 16S ribosomal RNA
Rfam family: Bacterial small subunit ribosomal RNA
Source: RNAcentral
GAUGAACGCUGGCGGCGUGCCUAAUACAUGCAAGUCGAGCGAACAGACGAGGAGCUUGCUCCUCUGACGUUAGCGGCGGACGGGUGAGUAACACGUGGAUAACCUACCUAUAAGACUGGGAUAACUUCGGGAAACCGGAGCUAAUACCGGAUAAUAUAUUGAACCGCAUGGUUCAAUAGUGAAAGACGGUUUUGCUGUCACUUAUAGAUGGAUCCGCGCCGCAUUAGCUAGUUGGUAAGGUAACGGCUUACCAAGGCGACGAUGCGUAGCCGACCUGAGAGGGUGAUCGGCCACACUGGAACUGAGACACGGUCCAGACUCCUACGGGAGGCAGCAGUAGGGAAUCUUCCGCAAUGGGCGAAAGCUUGACGGAGCAACGCCGCGUGAGUGAUGAAGGCCUUCGGAUCGUAAAACUCUGUUAUUAGGGAAGAACAAAUGUGUAAGUAACUAUGCACGUCUUGACGGUACCUAAUCAGAAAGCCACGGCUAACUACGUG